Molecule: ribosomal RNA, 253 nt
Filed under: uncultured bacterium
Lineage: Bacteria
Description: partial 16S ribosomal RNA
Rfam family: Bacterial small subunit ribosomal RNA
Source: RNAcentral
UACGUAGGUGGCGAGCGUUAUCCGGAUUUAUUGGGUGUAAAGAGGGCGCAGGCGGCUUUGCAAGUCGGAUGUAAAAUCUCCCAGCUUAACUGGGAGGGACCAUGCGAUACUGUUAAGCUUGAGGACAACAGAGGGAGGUAGAAUUCCCGGUGUAGUGGUGAAAUGCGUAGAUAUCGGGAGGAAUGCCAGUGGCGAAGGCGGCCUCCCAGGUUGUUGCUGACGCUUAAGCCCGAAAGCGUGGGGAGCAAACAGG